RNAcentral lists this ribosomal RNA (274 nucleotides) under uncultured bacterium. RNAcentral describes it as "partial 16S ribosomal RNA". It matches the Rfam family "Bacterial small subunit ribosomal RNA", at positions 523 to 796 of the family's 1533-position model. The record is from RNAcentral.
AUACGAAGGUCCCAAGCGUUAUUCGGAAUCACUGGGCGUAAGGAGUACGUAGGCGGUUUGGUAAGUCAGGUGUGAAAUCCCGGAGCUCAACUCCGGAACUGCAUCCGAUACUGCCAGACUUGAGUAAUGGAGAGGCAGGUGGAAUUCUCGGUGUAGCAGUGAAAUGCGUGGAUAUCGAGAGGAAGACCAAUGGCGAAGGCAGCCUGCUGGACAUUUACUGACGCUGAGGUACGAAGGCUAGGGGAGCGAAAGGGAUUAGAAACCCGAGUAGUCC